GCCUGGGUGGCUCAGUCAGUUAAGCAUCUGACUUCGGCUCGGGUCAUGAUCUCUUGGUUUGUGGGUUCGAGCCCCACGUCAGGCU
This is a transfer RNA of Felis catus (domestic cat), 85 nucleotides long. It matches the Rfam family "tRNA". From Rfam's summary of the family: Transfer RNA (tRNA) molecules are approximately 80 nucleotides in length. Their secondary structure includes four short double-helical elements and three loops (D, anti-codon, and T loops). Further hydrogen bonds mediate the characteristic L-shaped molecular structure. tRNAs have two regions of fundamental functional importance: the anti-codon, which is responsible for specific mRNA codon recognition, and the 3' end, to which the tRNAs corresponding amino acid is attached (by aminoacyl-tRNA synthetases). tRNAs cope with the degeneracy of the genetic code in two manners: having more than one tRNA (with a specific anti-codon) for a particular amino acid; and 'wobble' base-pairing, i.e. permitting non-standard base-pairing at the 3rd anti-codon position. NCBI's taxonomy places the organism in Eukaryota, Metazoa, Chordata, Mammalia, Carnivora, Felidae. The record is from Rfam.